GCCCUUAUAGCUUAGUGGUAGAGCGUUAGUCUUGUAAACUAAAAGUUUGUAAUUCAAUCCUAUGUGGGGGCA
Molecule: non-coding RNA, 72 nt
Organism: Cucurbita maxima (winter squash)
Lineage: Eukaryota; Viridiplantae; Streptophyta; Magnoliopsida; Cucurbitales; Cucurbitaceae
Source: the annotation of a RefSeq genome assembly